Molecule: transfer RNA, 72 nt
Filed under: Camelus bactrianus (Bactrian camel)
Lineage: Eukaryota; Metazoa; Chordata; Mammalia; Artiodactyla; Camelidae
Also listed under: 1 other name
Rfam family: tRNA
About the family: Transfer RNA (tRNA) molecules are approximately 80 nucleotides in length. Their secondary structure includes four short double-helical elements and three loops (D, anti-codon, and T loops).
Source: Rfam by way of RNAcentral
GAGGGCAUAGCACAGUGGUAGAGUGCAUGCCUAGCACGCAUGAGGUCCUGGGUUCAAUCCUGAGUACCUCCA